GACGAACCGAGCGAACGUUAUUCGGAAUCACUGGGCUUAAAGGGUGCGUAGGCGGGCUGUCAAGUCUGGGGUGAAAUCCGGCAGCUUAACUGUCGAACUGCCUUAGAUACUGAUGGCCUCGAGGGAGGUAGGGGCAUGCGGAACUGUAGGUGGAGCGGUGAAAUGCGUUGAUAUCUACAGGAACUCCGGUGGCGAAAGCGGCGUGCUGGACCUCUUCUGACGCUGAGGCACGAAAGCUAGGGGAGCAAACGGG
This 253-nucleotide ribosomal RNA is filed under the name uncultured bacterium. RNAcentral describes it as "partial 16S ribosomal RNA". It matches the Rfam family "Bacterial small subunit ribosomal RNA", at positions 524 to 776 of the family's 1533-position model. The record is from RNAcentral.